GGUUGAUCCUGCCAGUAGUCAUAUGCUUGUCUCAAAGAUUAAGCCAUGCAUGUCUAAGUAUAAGCAAAUCUAUACUGUGAAACUGCGAACGGCUCAUUAAAUCAGUUAUAAUUUAUUUGAUGGUACCUUACUACAUGGAUAACUGUGGUAAUUCUAGAGCUAAUACAUGCAUAAAAGGCCCUUUACGGGGUUGUAUUUAUUAGAUAAAAGACCAAUGGGGCUUGCUCCUUUAGGUGAAUCAUGAUAACUGCUCGAAUCGCAUGGCCUUGUGCCGGCGAUGCAUCAUUCAAAU
This 292-nucleotide ribosomal RNA is filed under the name uncultured eukaryote. RNAcentral describes it as "partial 18S ribosomal RNA". It matches the Rfam family "Eukaryotic small subunit ribosomal RNA", at positions 6 to 304 of the family's 1831-position model. The record is from RNAcentral.